This 732-nucleotide ribosomal RNA is filed under the name uncultured bacterium. RNAcentral describes it as "bacterial SSU rRNA". It matches the Rfam family "Bacterial small subunit ribosomal RNA", at positions 771 to 1501 of the family's 1533-position model. The record is from RNAcentral.
AACAGGAUUAGAUACCCUGGUAGUCCAUGCCGUAAACGAUGUCUACUAGCCGUUGGGGCCUUUGAGGCUUUAGUGGCGCAGCUAACGCGAUAAGUAGACCGCCUGGGGAGUACGGUCGCAAGACUAAAACUCAAAUGAAUUGACGGGGGCCCGCACAAGCGGUGGAGCAUGUGGUUUAAUUCGAUGCAACGCGAAGAACCUUACCUGGCCUUGACAUACUAAGAACUUUCCAGAGAUGGACUGGUGCCUUCGGGAACUUAGAUACAGGUGCUGCAUGGCUGUCGUCAGCUCGUGUCGUGAGAUGUUGGGUUAAGUCCCGCAACGAGCGCAACCCUUUUCCUUAUUUGCCAUCGGGUAAUGCCGGGAACUUUAAGGAUACUGCCAGUGACAAACUGGAGGAAGGCGGGGACGACGUCAAGUCAUCAUGGCCCUUACGGCCAGGGCUACACACGUGCUACAAUGGUCGGUACAAAGGGUUGCUACCUCGCGAGAGGAUGCUAAUCUCAAAAAGCCGAUCGUAGUCCGGAUCGCAGUCUGCAACUCGACUGCGUGAAGUCGGAAUCGCUAGUAAUCGCGGAUCAGAAUGCCGCGGUGAAUACGUUCCCGGGCCUUGUACACACCGCCCGUCACACCAUGGGAGUUUGUUGCACCAGAAGUAGGUAGUCUAACCGUAAGGAGGACGCUUACCACGGUGUGGCCGAUGACUGGGGGUGAAGUCGUAACAAGGUAACC